UACGUAGGUGACAAGCGUUGUCCGGAUUUACUGGGCGUAAAGAGCGCGCAGGCGGUUGCUCAAGUCGAGUGUGAAAGCCCCCGGCUCAACUGGGGAGGGUCAUUCGAUACUGAUCGACUCGAAGGCAGGAGAGGGAAGUGGAAUUCCCGGUGUAGUGGUGAAAUGCGUAGAUAUCGGGAGGAACACCAGUGGCGAAGGCGACUUCCUGGCCUGUUCUUGACGCUGAGGCGCGAAAGCUAGGGGAGCAAACGGG
This 253-nucleotide ribosomal RNA is filed under the name uncultured bacterium. RNAcentral describes it as "partial 16S ribosomal RNA". It matches the Rfam family "Bacterial small subunit ribosomal RNA", at positions 524 to 776 of the family's 1533-position model. The record is from RNAcentral.